AUACGUAGGGGGCGAGCGUUGUCCGGAAUGAUUGGGCGUAAAGGGCGCGUAGGCGGCCCGGUAAGUCUGGAGUGAAAGUCCUGCUUUUAAGGUGGGAAUUGCUUUGGAUACUGUCGGGCUUGAGUGCAGGAGAGGUAAGUGGAAUUCCCAGUGUAGCGGUGAAAUGCGUAGAGAUUGGGAGGAACACCAGUGGCGAAGGCGACUUACUGGACUGUAACUGACGCUGAGGCGCGAAAGUGUGGGGAGCAAACAGGAUUAGAUACCCUGGUAGUCCACACUGUAAACGAUGAAUGCUAGGUGUAGGGGGUAUCGACCCCCUCUGUGCCGCAGUAAACACAAUAAGCAUUCCGCCUGGGGAGUACGGCCGCAAGGUUGAAACUCAAAUGAAUGGACGGGG
Molecule: ribosomal RNA, 397 nt
Filed under: uncultured bacterium
Lineage: Bacteria
Description: partial 16S ribosomal RNA
Rfam family: Bacterial small subunit ribosomal RNA
Source: RNAcentral